UACGAAGGGGGCUAGCGUUGCUCGGAAUCACUGGGCGUAAAGCGCACGUAGGCGGCUUGCUAAGUCAGGGGUGAAAUCCUGGAGCUCAACUCCAGAACUGCCUUUGAUACUGGCGACCUUGAGUCCGGGAGAGGUGAGUGGAACUGCGAGUGUAGAGGUGAAAUUCGUAGAUAUUCGCAAGAACACCAGUGGCGAAGGCGGCUCACUGGCCCGGUACUGACGCUGAGACGCGAAAGCGUGGGGAGCGAACAGG
RNAcentral lists this ribosomal RNA (253 nucleotides) under uncultured bacterium. Its description in RNAcentral is "partial 16S ribosomal RNA". It matches the Rfam family "Bacterial small subunit ribosomal RNA", at positions 524 to 776 of the family's 1533-position model. The record is from RNAcentral.